RNAcentral lists this ribosomal RNA (243 nucleotides) under uncultured bacterium. Its description in RNAcentral is "partial 16S ribosomal RNA". It matches the Rfam family "Bacterial small subunit ribosomal RNA", at positions 28 to 277 of the family's 1533-position model. The record is from RNAcentral.
GAUGAACGUUGGCGGCGUGCCUAACACAUGCAAGUCGAACGCUGGUAGCAAUAUCAGAGUGGCGCACGGGUGAGUAACACGUAGCUUACCUACCUCAAAGCGCGGGAUAACGUUCCGAAAGGAAUGCUAAUACCGCAUAAGCUCCCGGUCUGUAGAGGGCUGAGAGAAAAGGGGCAACUCACUUUGAGAUGGGGCGUGCGGCCCACUCAGCUGGUUGGUGAGGUAACGGCUUACCAAGGCAAC